CAGCAGCCGCGGGAAUACGAAGGGGGCUAGCGUUGCUCGGAAUGACUGGGCGUAAAGGGCGCGUAGGCGGGUGGCACAGUCAGAUGUGAAAUUCCCGGGCUUAACCUGGGGGCUGCAUUUGAUACGUGUUGUCUAGAGUGAGGAAGAGGGUCGUGGAAUUCCCAGUGUAGAGGUGAAAUUCGUAGAUAUUGGGAAGAACACCGGUGGCGAAGGCGGCGACCUGGUCCUUUACUGACGCUGAGGCGCGAAAGCGUGGGGAGCAAACAGGAUUAGAUACCCCAGUAGUCCCUGUCUCUUAUAC
This 301-nucleotide ribosomal RNA is filed under the name uncultured bacterium. Its description in RNAcentral is "partial 16S ribosomal RNA". It matches the Rfam family "Bacterial small subunit ribosomal RNA", at positions 509 to 807 of the family's 1533-position model. The record is from RNAcentral.